UAUCUUUUUUUUUUUUCUUUUUCUCAGCAUGGCUGUGUAAACUGAUAAUCAUAGCACUCUGGAAUUUGAGGUACAAAUAUAUUAAGUUUGAGGCCAGACUAGGCUCCAUGGUCAGACUGUAUGACAAAAAAAGAAAUAAAUAAAAGGAAAAAAACUUAAAAAAAAAAAGAAACAAAACAUACCAUCCAACCCCUAAUUACAGGAACAACAAAACCCUGUAUUUUGUGGCUAUACACCAGCAUGGUAAAAAAAGGAAGGUAGAUUUUUAUGAGUCUAUGAUUAAAUUGGAAAGCACUAUAUUUAUAAUUUAUAAAGUCUGGCUUUGGAUUCUCGUCUUUAAAUUAUAUUCUUUGGUUUAGCUCUUUUGGAAAUAACAGCCUAUGACAGAGUUGGGUUAGAGCCAAACAUUUCUGCUUGGGAGAUUUCCAACAAUGAAUCAAGACUAAUUAAACUUCAGUUUUAAGCAGCAGAGAAUAUCCAUCUCAGGUAACAACUACUGUGAGACAAUUUGUUCUGUUUAUGUCACCGUCACCUCCCAUACAUACAGUUGUUUCAUCGUAAGUGUGGCCCAUUCCUCAGUGUUAUAAUUUUAACAGUAUGUAUUUAAUCAAAGUUGUAUGGCUUAGGAAACCAUCAUCUCCAGUAUAACAUUUGAAAGUUGAUUUAGAAGGAAGACAUGAGUGGAUAAUUACUUAUUGUUUAAAAAAUGAUAAAGUAACUUGCUUUAAUUUCUAGCACAAAUAAUUAGUCAACUUUAGCUGACAGCACUAUGCAAAAGGCUGGUGGGACAUCUAAGUGGCGAGGUGCUUGUCCAGAAUGGCUGAAGCAUUGGGUUCGAAGCACUGGGGAAAAAAAAAGUUUGUAAAGUAAUUUUAAGAGCUGCUUUACUGUCUUUCAUGGAGUACGUAAAAAUAUACCUGGCACAGCAGUCACAACUUUAUAUGUAAUUUGUCAUGUAGCAAACUUAGUUCAGAGAUGACAAUUCUGUCCCAUCACACCAGGCCCUACCAUCCACAUUUUUAUUUGAGGUCACUGUGUAGCACUAGCUGUCCUGGAACUCACACUAUAUAGACCAGGCUGGUAUUGAACUCCUAGAGAGUCAUCUGCCUCUGCCUUUCACAGGCACCAUGAUGUGUGGAUCCCAUUAUUUAUUUUAUGUAUAUCAGUGCUCUAUCUGCAUGUACACCUGUGUGCCAGAAGAGGGCAUCAGAUUUAAUUUGGAAGUUGAAAUUGAACAAUGGAUUUUAUCUAGUACAUUUUUGUAAAUACCAUUUGUAUUCAUAAUUUAUAUUAUAUUAUUAUAUGCUUAUAUGGGGAGCUUAUAUUUACUGUUAUAUAUUAUAUUGUACUGUUAUAUGUUUAUAUUGUAUGGUGAAUUUCAGAGAAGAAUGUGUAUCACAUUGGGAUUUAAUCUGACUUUACCAAAAAAGAAAAGAAACAUGUACAUGAGCACCAAACUUCAUACCCCAAGAGAUCGUAACAUUACUCAAAUGUCAGAGACUCAAGUGAGAAGCUUGCCCUGCCAGCAAUAUAGCAUAUGUCUACUUCAAAGCCAGUGUUUCUACAUUUUGAGAAAACUCAAAGAAAUAUGAGCUUGGCUAUGAUUUAUACCUAGAUGUUCAAGUAGGUUUAGUAUAAAUCAAUAUCUAAUACAUUUUGAAAAUCAUUCAUUUUUAGAGAUAGAUUUUUCUCUCUACUAUUGGGCAGGAAGUUCUUGAGUUUUGCUUUAAGAUUAAUUUAAGCAAAAAUAAUUCAUAAGCAUACUACUUAUAGUAUAGAGAACACAUCUGAAGAGCAACUAUUGGAAAAAGUCAAUACUAUUGCAUGUAAAAGCAAAACCUAAGAGAUUCAUGCGAAGUAAGCUAAUUGGCCUCCUUAGAUUUUUCAAACAGGGAUUGCUCUGAAAACAGAAGUAAACACUCUUAGAAGAUUUCUUACUAUGUGAAAUAACUGGGAUUACCCCGCAUUUCGGAAAAGAAUCAUCAUUUUCUUCAUUUCCUUUUAUUUUAUGGGUGUGGGUGUUCUGCCUGCAUGCAUGCCUAUGUAGCACAUGCACGCAAUGCCCACAGAGACUAGAAGGGGACAUCGGAUUCUCUGGGACCAGGGUUAGAGAUGGUUGUUAGUUUUUGGGUGCUGGAAACCAAAAUUGUUCCUUUGUAAGAGCAAAAAGCAUUAUAUAUAUAUGCCUUCAUGUCGGUAGCUCAGAGUACAAGAAAGUACAUUUAUUUUUUAAAAAUUAUUUUAUUAGAUGUUUUCUUCAUUUAUAUUUCAAAUGCUAUACCCCAAAUCCACUAUACCCUCCCUCCACCCUGCUCCCCUACCCACCCACUCCCACUUCUUGGCCCUGGUGUUCCCCUGUACUGGGGCAUAUAAACUUUGCAAGACCAUUCUUAACCACUGACCCAUCUACAAGUGUACCACUGGACGUCAUAAGAUUUCUUAGAAAUAUUUGAAAUUGGAAUGCUAGGCUUUCUUGUUUGUUUUUGUUUUAUGGCACAGUCUCCUUAAGUCCCCAGGCUGGCCUUCCUAUGUAACUGAGGCUGAGGGUGACCUUGCACUAAUGGUCAUUGAAAGUGCUCUUUCUGAUUAUGACAUAUGUGUCACCAUGAAUGGCUUCUUUGCGUGAUUCAUCUUAUGUGAAAGCAUAUGAUAAAAGACAGGUGGCAUAUUAUAUAUGAUAAUAUUAAAUGUAUUUUUCUAAACAGUCUUCUCAAGUUGUAGAAAUUCCCUAUGUUGUAGUCAUGGCUUCAAACCAUAGAAGGAAGGUCUGUUCCUGUAUCUAACAGAGCAGAUUUUGAGGCUAGGUGAGUGUUUUUAUAUCUUAGGUGGAUUCUAUUGAUCGCCUUCUGUGUAUUAGAACUAGAUUGGAGGGCCCGAUUUUAGAUCUAUUUUAGAAUGAAACAAAGAGCCAUUAAUAAUAAUUCAUUUACUUUCUCUACUUCUUAUUAUCCAGAGUAUAAUUAGAAUGGAGUAGGAUUCUAAACAUUAGCAGAUGCUUCAAUAGAUGGCAUGUGCAAUUCAAAUGCAAAUAGGCUACCAAUUGGAAAUUUGUGGUUGGUAUUCAGAAAUGUAAUAUUAGAGUUGAGAAGAGAUGAUGGCUAGAAAGUUAAAAAGUGUAGGCGCCAUUUACAUGGUUUUAUUUGAAACUGU
This 3150-nucleotide long non-coding RNA is filed under the name Mus musculus (house mouse). RNAcentral's name for it is "long non-coding RNA chrX:109102200-109105350". The record is from RNAcentral. Lineage: Eukaryota; Metazoa; Chordata; Mammalia; Rodentia; Muridae.